This 753-nucleotide ribosomal RNA is filed under the name marine CFB-group bacterium SY022. Its description in RNAcentral is "bacterial SSU rRNA". It matches the Rfam family "Bacterial small subunit ribosomal RNA", at positions 67 to 816 of the family's 1533-position model. The record is from RNAcentral. Lineage: Bacteria; Pseudomonadati; Bacteroidota.
CGGGAUUUCAUUCUUCGGAAUGAUUGAGAGUGGCGCACGGGUGCGUAACGCGUAUGCAACCUACCUGUUACAGGGAGAUAGCCCGGGGAAACUCGGAUUAAUAUCCCAUAGUAUUAUUUUACUGCAUGGUAGAAUGAUUAAAGCCUUCGGGUGGUAACAGACGGGCAUGCGUAGGAUUAGCUAGUUGNNGNNNNNACGGCUCACCAAGGCGACGAUCCUUAGGGGUUCUGAGAGGAAGGUCCCCCACACUGGCACUGAGAUACGGGCCAGACUCCUACGGGAGGCAGCAGUAGGGAAUAUUGGUCAAUGGGCGAGAGCCUGAACCAGCCAUGCCGCGUGCAGGAAGACGGCGUUCUGCGUUGUAAACUGCUUUUAUCUGGGAAGAAAAAGCCCUUGCGAGGGAAAUUGCCGGUACCAGAGGAAUAAGCACCGGCUAACUCCGUGCCAGCAGCCGCGGUAAUACGGAGGGUGCAAGCGUUGUCCGGAUUUAUUGGGUUUAAAGGGUGCGUAGGCGGCCAAUUAAGUCAGUGGUGAAAGUUUCCGGCUCAACCGGGAGACUGCCAUUGAUACUGAUUGGCUUGAGUUAUGGAGGGGUACAUGGAAUUUACGGUGUAGCGGUGAAAUGCAUAGAUACCGUAAGGAACACCGAUAGCGAAGGCAUUGUACUGGCCAUAAACUGACGCUGANGCACGAAAGCGUGGGUAGCGAACAGGAUUAGAUACCCUGGUAGUCCACGCCGUAAACGAUGAUCAC